GCGGGUGUAGUUUAAUGGCAAAACUCGAGCUUCCCAAGCUCGCAUCGAGGGUUCGAUUCCCUUCACCCGCUCCA
Molecule: transfer RNA, 74 nt
Filed under: Eubacteriales bacterium
Lineage: Bacteria; Bacillati; Bacillota; Clostridia; Eubacteriales
Description: tRNA-Gly
Rfam family: tRNA
About the family: Transfer RNA (tRNA) molecules are approximately 80 nucleotides in length. Their secondary structure includes four short double-helical elements and three loops (D, anti-codon, and T loops).
Source: RNAcentral